This 948-nucleotide ribosomal RNA is filed under the name Triticum aestivum (bread wheat). RNAcentral describes it as "partial small subunit ribosomal RNA". The record is from RNAcentral. Lineage: Eukaryota; Viridiplantae; Streptophyta; Magnoliopsida; Poales; Poaceae.
AUGAGGAAUGCUUACACUAUAGGCAUGAGAAGCACACAAUUAAGUGAGAGGUUGAACAGUGACUUGAAAGACCAUCUAAAGUCUGAUCUUGACAUCCUUCGGUUUUUCAAGCACGUAGAGAGGGCUGUGCAAGAGAAAAGAGAUAACGAGGUAAAUGAGGAAUAUGAGUCUAGGAAAAAAUUACCUAGAGUCAGAAUGAGGACUCCUAUGGUAAUACAAGCGAGCAAGGUUUACACACCACGCAUAUUUGAAGAUUUUCAGAAUGAAUAUGAAAGAUCUAUCUCAGCAUACAUCAAGCCAUCGAUAGAACACAAUGCAUAUAUUGUUGCAAUUGCAAGUCUUGACCCAGAAUUCACAUAUGAAGAAGAGUGCAAAGUUGUAGUUGAUUAUGAAGAGCAAAAAGUUUUCUGCGAUUGUGGGCAAUUUGAAAGAGUUGGUAUAUUGUGUAGUCAUGCUUUGAAAGCACUUGAUGUCAUGAAUAUUAAGUACCUUCCAGGCCACUAUAUUUUGAAGCGAUGGAUUCGAGAAGCGCAAAGCGACACUAUACAAAACAGCCAUGGAAACAUUGUUUUGGAAGAUCCUAGAUCAGAAGAUAGACAACAGUUGAAGUUUUUCAUGCACGAGUUCCUUGGCAUAGCUUCACAGGCAGUUACAUCAGAAGAGUGUAUCAAACUAGUAGAUGAUGCUUUGAAGAAUCUUAGGAAGCAAGUUGAAGAGAAAGCUCGUACUACUACAUGCAGAACUGAAGAUAUAUCUAAAGAACCAGACGAUUGUUUAAAGGAUGCUUGCCUCAAGAAAAAGGAAAUUCCAAAGAAAAAUUUAAGAAGAAGGAAAUCAUGGCUUGACAAUCAGCACCCAAAUAAAAAGAAGGAGACAACUAAAGCGGUACCCAAAAAUCAAAAUCAUUCUGUAAAUCUCUUGCACAUGUCUAACCAGACUACUUAUUAA